CUGCCACAAAGGAUCCACAGAGCCCCUGCCCCGAGUCCCUGUCCUCUGUGGGUACAUAUGCCUUGCACAUUAGGGAGAAAAGUUCCCCAGCUCAGGAAAAUGUCCCGGGACUGCACAAAGGUAAUCCUAAUUCACCACUCCUGCAAUUCCCUACCUCAUUUGGAAGUCUGUCUUACCUUUGCAUGGGGAGAUCUUGCUGCAAAGUCAUCAACCAAAGCAGGAAGAGUCAGCCACGUACCCUGGAACAAAGGGACAUUAGAUGUGACGUGGGCCUCUCUGUCCCAGCCCCAGACCCUGUGUCAGGCCUGAGGGAUACAGCUGGGAGCUGAUAGGGACCUGCCUCGUGGAUACCGUCAGUAUCUGCUAUACUCAGACACUAUGUCCCUUUACCUUUCAGAUCACCCCACUGCUCUCAGAAGCAGCCUUUCAAGGACCUGGAUUCUUCCGCUGUCUUUCAAGGCCAAGGAGCAGAAGAACGGACGGGACUUGAGGAUGGCAGCAGAAAGUAGGGAGACGCCCGGAGCAAGCCGAGCGAGCCGAGCCGGGAGUGGCAACGGGAGCCCGAACGCGCGGACGCCGGAGCGCGCGCUGGAGCAGGCGCUGGAGCCUGGGCUGGAGCGGAGCGGGGCUUAGCGCGCAGAGC
Long non-coding RNA from Hyaena hyaena (striped hyena), 643 nucleotides. RefSeq lists it as uncharacterized. The transcript is spliced from 4 exons. The record is from RefSeq and is a predicted model, not a curated record. NCBI's taxonomy places the organism in Eukaryota, Metazoa, Chordata, Mammalia, Carnivora, Hyaenidae.